Molecule: ribosomal RNA, 274 nt
Filed under: uncultured bacterium
Lineage: Bacteria
Description: partial 16S ribosomal RNA
Rfam family: Bacterial small subunit ribosomal RNA
Source: RNAcentral
AUACGGAGGGUGCAAACGUUAAUCGGAAUUACUGGGCGUAAAGCGCGCGUAGGCGGCUUUGUAAGUCGGAUGUGAAAGCCCUGGGCUCAACCUGGGAAUGGCAUUCGAUACUGCAGAGCUAGAGUAUGGUAGAGGGAAGUGGAAUUUCCGGUGUAGCGGUGAAAUGCGUAGAUAUCGGAAGGAACACCAGUGGCGAAGGCGACUUCCUGGGCCAAUACUGACGCUGAGGUGCGAAAGCGUGGGGAGCAAACAGGAUUAGAAACCCCAGUAGUCC